AUUGAACGCUGGCGGCAGGCCUAACACAUGCAAGUCGAACGGUAACAGGAAGCAGCUUGCUGCUUUGCUGACGAGUGGCGGACGGGUGAGUAAUGUCUGGGAAACUGCCUGAUGGAGGGGGAUAACUACUGGAAACGGUAGCUAAUACCGCAUAACGUCGCAAGACCAAAGAGGGGGACCUUCGGGCCUCUUGCCAUCGGAUGUGCCCAGAUGGGAUUAGCUAGUAGGUGGGGUAAAGGCUCACCUAGGCGACGAACCCUAGCUGGUCUGAGAGGAUGACCAGCCACACUGGAACUGAGACACGGUCCAGACUCCUACGGGAGGCAGCAGUGGGGAAUAUUGCACAAUGGGCGCAAGCCUGAUGCAGCCAUGCCGCGUGUAUGAAGAAGGCCUUCGGGUUGUAAAGUACUUUCAGCGGGGAGGAAGGGAGUAAAGUUAAUACCUUUGCUCAUUGACGUUACCCGCAGAAGAAGCACCGGCUAACUCCGUG
RNAcentral lists this ribosomal RNA (490 nucleotides) under uncultured bacterium. RNAcentral's name for it is "partial 16S ribosomal RNA". It matches the Rfam family "Bacterial small subunit ribosomal RNA", at positions 30 to 507 of the family's 1533-position model. The record is from RNAcentral.